This 680-nucleotide ribosomal RNA is filed under the name Montenegrina zilchi. Its description in RNAcentral is "partial 12S ribosomal RNA". The record is from RNAcentral. Lineage: Eukaryota; Metazoa; Mollusca; Gastropoda; Stylommatophora; Clausiliidae.
GCACUAAAUGGGUUGCUAUUCUUUAUUUAUUUAUUAGUUUAUUAAAGUACUUUUAAGUCCAUCUUAUAGAAAAUUUUAAAUCUUCUAACCGAAAAGAAUUUUUAUUGUAACUCGCCUUAUUUCUUAUUUAUCUGCUGCACUUUGAUUUGUAUUAAAUUUUAAAUAAAAUUUUAAAAUCACCUUUAGGUAAUUUCACGACAACGGUAUACAAGCUGUUUAAAUAAGUAAAGUAUUCUUGGUGGCUAUCAUUUAAAUGGUAAGUUCCCCUAAAUUACUACAUUUAGCCGCCAUAACAUUUAAGUUUAGGCCUAUAGUAAGCAUUAAUUCUUGUUUAAUAUAUUUUUAUUUCCUUAUAAUUGGGUAUCUAAUCCAGGUUUAACUUUAGGAUGUUGACUUAAUAUAGGUAUAGUUAAAUUAUGAAAUUAAUAAUAUUUCACUACAUAUUUAAUUUUUUUUGAACCUUAAAUUUAUUAAACAAUUACUAUAAAUUUAUCUAAUAGGUAUGACCGCGGUUGCUGGCACCUAAUAAACCUAGAUUAUAUAGUUAUCUAAAUUUAAAUUUCUUUAAUAGUUUAAAAUUUUUAACUGAUAAGUGUUUACAUUUCAUAUUAGAAAAGACUAUAAACUUAUAGAUCCAUCAUAUUAAAGUGGUAUCUAAGAGGGUUUAAAACCAUUUUAGG